This 229-nucleotide ribosomal RNA is filed under the name uncultured bacterium. RNAcentral's name for it is "partial 16S ribosomal RNA". It matches the Rfam family "Bacterial small subunit ribosomal RNA", at positions 568 to 796 of the family's 1533-position model. The record is from RNAcentral.
UACGUAGGCGGAUCAGAAAGUAUAGGGUGAAAUCCCGAGGCUCAACCUCGGAACUGCCUUGUAAACUCCUGGUCUUGAGUUCGAGAGAGGUGAGUGGAAUUCCAAGUGUAGAGGUGAAAUUCGUAGAUAUUUGGAGGAACACCAGUGGCGAAGGCGGCUCACUGGCUCGAUACUGACGCUGAGGUACGAAAGUGUGGGGAGCAAACAGGAUUAGAUACCCUGGUAGUCC